GACCUCAGAUAAGGCAAGACUACCCGCUGAAUUUAAGCAUAUUAAUA
RNAcentral lists this ribosomal RNA (47 nucleotides) under Macrorhynchia phoenicea. Its description in RNAcentral is "partial 28S ribosomal RNA". The record is from RNAcentral. Lineage: Eukaryota; Metazoa; Cnidaria; Hydrozoa; Leptothecata; Aglaopheniidae.